CGCACCUUGCGCUCCUGGACUUGUUUCAGGAGCAUGCCUGUUUGAGUGUCAUGAAAUCAUCAACCACGCCGCUUUUGUUAGCGGUCGUGGCUUGGACUUGGGGAUUUGCGGGUGCGUCAAGCGUCGGCUUCCCUUGAAUGUAUUAGUCGGGGUGCCUUGCUCGAGACGUGUGAUAAUUAUCAUUCACGGACCGACAAGGAGCUUGUCUCGGCUUCUAACCGCAUGAACAAUGCAAUCUUGACACAUCUGACCUCAAAUCAGGUAGGACUACCCGCUGAACUUAA
This 284-nucleotide unclassified non-coding RNA is filed under the name Hyphodontia arguta. RNAcentral describes it as "partial contains 5.8S ribosomal RNA, internal transcribed spacer 2, and large subunit ribosomal RNA". The record is from RNAcentral. Lineage: Eukaryota; Fungi; Basidiomycota; Agaricomycetes; Hymenochaetales; Schizoporaceae.